RNAcentral lists this ribosomal RNA (592 nucleotides) under uncultured bacterium. Its description in RNAcentral is "bacterial SSU rRNA". It matches the Rfam family "Bacterial small subunit ribosomal RNA", at positions 338 to 943 of the family's 1533-position model. The record is from RNAcentral.
CCUACGGGAGGCAGCAGUGGGGAAUCUUGCGCAAUGGGCGAAAGCCUGACGCAGCAACGCCGCGUGCGGGAAGAAGGCUUUCGGGCUGUAAACCGCUUUCAGCAGGAACGAAAAUGACGGUACCUGCAGAAGAAGGAGCGGCCAACUAUGUGCCAGCAGCCGCGGUGAUACAUAGGCUUCAAGCGUUGUCCGGAUUUAUUGGGCGUAAAGAGUUCGUAGGCGGUCGAGUAAGUCGGGUGUGAAAAUUCUGGGCUCAACCCAGAGACGCCACCCGAUACUGCUUGACUUGAGUUCGAUAGGGGAGUGGGGAAUUCCUAGUGUAGCGGUGAAAUGCGCAGAUAUUAGGAGGAACGCCGGUGGCGAAGGCGCCACUCUGGAUCGAUACUGACGCUGAGGAACGAAAGCAUGGGUAGCAAACAGGAUUAGAUACCCUGGUAGUCCAUGCCGUAAACGGUGGGCACUAGGUGUGGGUUUCUAUUAACGAAAUCCGCGCCGUCGCUAACGCAUUAAGUGCCCCGCCUGGGGAGUACGGUCGCAAGACUAAAACUUAAAGGAAUUGACGGCUUGAGAGUUGCGAGCGCACGAGGGAGAG